Long non-coding RNA from Colius striatus (speckled mousebird), 10719 nucleotides. RefSeq lists it as uncharacterized. NCBI's taxonomy places the organism in Eukaryota, Metazoa, Chordata, Aves, Coliiformes, Coliidae. The transcript is spliced from 3 exons. The record is from RefSeq and is a predicted model, not a curated record.
CGGACAGCGCCCGGUUCUCGCCCAGCCCUCCCCCGCUGCCUGCGGCGGACGCGGGGCCGUGGGCCGGCGGGCUUGGGAGCCGGUUUCACUUUGCAGGGGGAAGCCCGGUUUAAACACAUGCGAGCCACGGGAAAACCGGGAUUCGGCCGGUUUGUCCUUCGAGGGCUGGCAGCCGGCGGGCGUCGGCCUCCCCCGCGGCAAAGGUGUGCGGCGGAGAUCGGAAGGGCGAAGGCGGCCGGGCUGGGGAGGUGGGAGCCCGCGGAGGCGGCUCGCACGGCUGCCCUGCAGCGCGCUUCCCAGCCCCGCUGCCGUCCCCACCGCCAGCGCCAGUCUCGGGCGCGCACAAGCCGAGCCGAGUCAGUUUAUGGAUGCCAGGCGCCGGCAAGACUCGUGUCGGCGGUGCCCGGGGCUCCCGCCUGCCUCCGGCGGUGCGGAACGCGGCAAUAAGCGAGUCAUAUUCCCGCCUUCGUUUUUGCAUCUCAAUGCAACGUGCAGACAAAGCCAGCGCUAUCACCAAGGGGGAAACCGAGGCACGGAGCAGUCACAAGAGUAAAACGCAGGUGUCCCGUGCCCUCGCCCACGAAUCAGCAUGGGCCAGCCCUGGGGGACCCUGGCUGCCCGCUGAGUCUCUGGGCAGGGGUGUAUGCACACACGAUCCCCGUCCUCCACACCUCUGCCGUGACAUAACCCUCCUCUCCCAGGCAGGACCGACACUACAGGAGCAGCACGAAGGACGCAGUGACUGCAAAGCAUCCUACCAGCCCUGCAAACCACGCCGCCGUCACCGCCGCGGACGGGUCCAGCACCGCCCCCUCCUUACGAGAAGGAUCGUCCAGCAUAGAGGUGACUUUCUGCUCUGGGACACAGAACUGUUCACCUCUGAGUGGUUGCCACGCUGCUAUUGACAGCUGGGAGAGUGCUGGGACACUGCCUGGACCACCACCUGACGUCUCCUCUCCCCCUUCUCUGGCUCAUUGCUGUGUCAGUGACACAGAAGCUCAUUCAUAACACUGGGCUGACAGAGGAUGCUUAACUAAUGUGGAGACAUGGAGACUGCCAAAGCACUACCAUCCAUUUGCCAGCUCGUAAAACGUUGCCCCCAAAGCUGCAAAAGUUAGUAUGUGAAUGAUAUCCUGCAGCAGACAGCCCUGCUAAAGAUCUUUGGAGGUACCAAGAAAUCCCUUCUGUCCCUGCAACUUACAGGACUGGAUGGCAGACAACUUGAAAGCAAAUGCAGGUCUAGAAUUUCUCAUCAUCAGACCUAGAUUUUCAGAGGCAAUUGCUUCCCUCUUGCCAGCACAGUGAACUGUUUAAAAUAGCUGUCCACUCAUUGCUGUGCCUUACUGUUGUUCUGUUUCUAACCUUCUCAUACUAAUGUCUUCAUUUGCAGUCAUAGACUUUCCCACUGAAGCUAGUAGAGCAUCUCUUGGGGCAAAGGGACCAGGGGCAGGAUCACAGGCUCAGGUCUGUGUUAUAUUAGAGAAACUAAAUAGUGAUUUUCAACUGAUACUUUCAGAGGUGAAAUUUCUGUCAAUGCUGAUACUUCAGGUUGCUAAAAACAAGCUUUCAUUCAAAGUCUGAUGGAAUCUGGAACCUGGGAGAAGUCUAUCUUCCUAUUGAUUUGUUGAUUCUCAUUCCUGAUUCCCAUUCUAGCACCCACUUUGUGCUGUUGUAUUUCCCUCUUGCCUUUGUACUGGCAACCUAGUACUAGGCUGGCUUGCUGGAGAGGAUCUGAACUGAAAGAAAAUGCAAUGCCAAUGGCUGCAAAGGAGAACUGUGAACUAACAUGGGUUCUCUCCUGCCUCAUCGUGAUUAGUUUUGUGUCUAAGAUAGUAAAUACUGUCAGUUGUUUCCAUGCAUGUGCAAGAGAAAUCAAAACUCAGGGCCCCAGUUCCUGGGCUGUAUAGGAGGACCAAAAGUUCAGCUUUUAUUUAGAAGAAUAAACCCUCCCAAACUCCUUCUUGCUUCACUGGUAAUCAGUGUUGUAAAGAGAUGCUUGAGAAUAAGAUAUGCAACCAAUUAAUCUUAAUCCAUAGAGAGCUGGAAACAAAACCUUGAUGAUAUAAAAAGUACAACCUUCAUCUUUGUUGUGAUGUGUAAAAACAUCCAACAAGAGGUUACAGUGAAGGGAAAGGCCUGCAGCAAAGGUAUGCAACCAGGAGAUUCCACGAAGAUGAAGCUAGAGGCACCAAACUGUACUGAUUUAGCCCUCGCUGCAUCUAAGAACCCUGGAUUCAUCCCACUGGUCUUACUAUGUUUGACAGGAGCAACAGGUGAUGCUUUUAUCAUGGUGUCUGAUAGAAAAGUUUUAUUACUUCAUGCAGAUCUAUCAUAGUAUCUUGCUGCAGGUAUCAUGGGAUUUACUUGAUUGUCCCUUCUAUCCCUGCUUAGUCCACUUCAGCCUGUACAAACAUAGCACAGGAAUCUUUUCUUUUUUUGUUUUAAACUCACUAGAGCAAUUACACAUCCUACCCCUAAUGUUUUAACUGUUUCUUUCCAGAGCUGGAAAUUCACUUUGGUACUGCUUUGUGCUAAUGGUGAGGAACUGCAGCAUAAAUCUGAUUACAAGCAGAAGUGAACAGGAUGAAUUUUAUAUCCAGCAUGUAAUCUGCAUGAGGUGCAGAAAUGUCAGAAAACAGAGUUUUAAAAAUCUACCCUCUUAGACCACUGAAGUUUGAUCCAUACCUCAGAGACUUUUCAUCUGAUUGACAAACAGCCUCUUCUUGAGAGCAUUCAGCCUGUCAGAGGGUGUUUAGGAAAGAGCCACCAUUAAAGAAGAAUGGAACUACUCAUGUAUAAGAGGUCUCUGAGACCUGAUCAUUGAGGUGAAAUCACAAGGGAGUCACAGGACUGUAGCCAUUGGUUUUAUUACCCCAUUGGCACUGACUGGCUUCCCAACCUGCGACCUUUUAUCAGUCACAUGAGAGGUCCCACAAAAUUAAGUACAGCUGCAAGAAGUGCUGCACCUUGUCUUUAACUAAAUACAUUCUGAGUGUGAGGUUUUUACAUGGCUUUUCUCACCCAGACCCAAGGAGAGGUUUUUAUGGGCAGAAGCAGCUCCAGACCUCACUAAGACUUCCCAGCAGAAGUCCUUGACUAAGACAUGUUGACUAAUACUUGCCAGCAGUGGGGACAGACAGGUCCUGACAUGGGGCCUGACAAGCAGCCUGGCUUGUCACCACUUUCCUGUGGGCACUUUAUGAAGACCUUGGCCCAUGUUGCUGCUGCAGGGUCAGAUUUGCCUGCCAUGCCCAUGGCUGCUGCUUCCCACCACUCCUCUCGUGAUGGCUUUUAGCUAGAGCUACCAGUCUGUUGGUCAGACUGGGCCAUCGACCUGGCUGGUAAUGCACCACUUUCCAAUGGGUGGGUUAGUUUGUGGAAAAAGGAAACAAAUGCUCCAAAGAGGGAGAUCAUUCUUCUUCCAGUGAAAUAGCAGCCUACAUUUACCAAUUUUUCCUAAAGGUAUGGUUUGGUUCUUAGACAGAAGUACCAGGAGACUGUGAUGAUCCACAGCUUUUGUGUCAGUGUUUCAAACCUCCUCUGGGGACUCCUCUGAGUCUCUCCUGAUGUGCUCUGAAAGUGAUUAGGAGACCUCACAGACUAGGUUGCCUACAGCUUGCUACAAGACACAGCUAAUUCUGAUAUUGUAGCCAUGCUAGGAAAAGUGCAUGGCCUUCCUAGCAAAGGGAAGAAAUGAGAUCAUAAACUGCAAAUGGAUUUCUUUCCCCCUGCCAUCCUCAGGUUACCAAGAUGAAGAAAGUAAAAGACUAGCAGAUAAAGAAGUUCACUCCCACCCCCAGGCUUAUAGCCUAAUACUUGAAAGGCAAACAUGAAAGAGGAACAAAUGGAAAAUCAAGUGAAAGCAUCUCUCCAUUAAUGAUCCCUCUUUCCCCAAAUUCUUUCCUAUUUGCACAGAUAAAAGAGAUAGUCAGGGUGGCACAAAGAAUCUAUGUGUGGGGCAUACAAAACUUAAUUGGGAUCCUCCUCCUACCCUGGAUUAAAUUUUCAGUGCAAUAAAGACAGAGCUCACAUGCCUCCACCUCUAAACACCACCUAGUUCGUAUAAAAGGAGAAAUACAUCCCUUUUAAUUCAGCUAUGCCAUACAGAGGGGACUUGCAAGAUGAAGCUCAAUCACUCUAACACAGAGCAGUGCAAAACUAUGACAUUUCAAACUGGGAAAACUCUUUGCAUAGUUGCAAAGUGCUGGGAAAUGAACUGGCACAUUAGGCCUCUUGAUUUCAUUAGGACACUUGAACAUUUACAGUGAAUUUUCUGGCCAGAUAUUACUGCAGCCACUUGGCAGAUGGGGAAACUGAGUCCUAGGGUGGUAGCUCAUGUUGAAUCAUGCAAUAUGUCAGUGGCAGACCCAGAGCUGCAAAGCAGGAAUCCCUGCAUCCCAGUUCCACUCUCAGGUCACUUAUUGCCCAGGUGCUGCAUAAGACACUGCAAAGCUGCUCAGCAGAAUGAUACAUUACCAGUAAGCGAGGGAAGGAUGCUCCUUCAGUGCUGGUGUUGGAAGGGCUGGCAGCUUCUUUAAUUCAUUCCUUACAACUUCAUUGCUGAAAGAGAGUUCAAAAGGAGGAUCAGGCUACAAGAAAACAACCACAAUAUUUGAUAUGACCUGACCUAGCUGGCAGGCUGCUACAGCUCUACAUCUGUUCCUCCUUAACAAAAGGCACUGGGGUUUCCUUUUUCUUCUCUCUUUAUUUGUUUUAUGGCAGCCCAGUUAACUUUUCCCUCUAUUAUCAGAAUUGGAAGGAAGCUCUCCCAGAUGGUUGUGCUGAAGCACUUCCUACUAGUGACUGGACACAAAAGCUACCAUGUCACAUUUCAUUGAGCAGGGUCUCACAGAUGUGUUCAUAUACAUUAAAAGAAAAAAAACAAGGGGAAGAGAAGAAAAAGUGAUGCUUUCAGCUGCAAUAAAACACCUUUAUUUAGUGCUUUACAACCUGCUGCAAAAAGUAGUGAUUUGCUUUCUUAGCAUUAUAGGUUGUUUUUAGCCUCUUGCCCCAGCAACCUGGCCUUUGCACAUCCUCACUGACAGAGCUCUGGCUUGAAUUUGUGCUGUGCUACACAAAACCCUCCAUGGGACAAGGCUCAGGCAUUUGGCUAACUUUCUCCUCCCUGCAACCUUGAGUGACCACGCUGGCCAGCUGGAGCAGCAUCUCCGCACACCAGUGAGCAGGGACAGCACAUGGAGUGGGAAGCAGAUUCUCACAGAUUAAAUGUAACCACAACAUUUUCUCCUACAAACCCCAAAUGCCUCCCUUCCCACUUUUAAACACACAAGGAAUUGUGUGCACAUGAAAACAAAAAUCUCUGAGGCUUGGGAAGGAAGGUAGUGUUGCUGUUACUUUUAAAACUGUAGAAAUACAGAGCCAAGAAGGCCAGACAGGACACUAAGGAGUGCCAAAGAAUUAAUGUUUAGUGGAUUACUUCUUAAUAGCAGGGUUUAUUCUGUCUUCUUGUAUCCUGCCCUUUAUGCUGCCAAGUGUAACUGUCCUGGAGCUGUGGAGAGAGAUGCCACCUCCAGAUUUCCCAGCCCACUGCCUUCUGGAGGGCAGCAGGGUCAUUAGCCAGGCAGAUAGGUAGUCUUGGCAUCCCCAGCCAACUAGACCAGUCAUUCUAACAUUUGCUGAAGGCCCAAGAAGCCCUUGUACAUGCCAGGUCACCCUGAGUUUUGUGCUUGUCUCUGGAGCAGUCUACAUGGUGGCUUGUAGAGAUGUGAUGCUGCUUCAGUUGUAAGAAUCUUCCCACAAUGUUUCUCCAUUUGUGCACCUCAAAAGCAAGCUCUGCCUGAGACCUAGGUAGGUUUUGUCUUAAUUGGAGUUUGUGGGUUAAUUGCUAGGUUAGGCCAUAGGGUAAACCACUAACGUCAAUCCCAAAGCAGCCAUGUUGGGUACAACUACAGGCAUUUAUUAUCAUGGUAGUUCCCUGGCAAUCAAGUGGAUAGUUUCAAAACAGGUCCAUAACUUCUAGUCAAGAGAAAUCUAGGACAGAGGUGCCCACAUCUCUACUAGGUACAAAUAUUUUGCAGAGUGAAUUGUAGAAUCAUAGAGUGGUUUAAGUUGGAAGGGACCUUUAAGAUCAUCCAGUUCCAACCUCCAGCCAAGGGCAAGGACACCUUCCACUAGACCAGGUUUCUCACAGCCCCAUCCAACCUGGCCUUGAUGAGUGAAGAUGUGUAGAACAACAAUUACAAGAAAUGACUAAGGCAACCACUUCUGUGCUGAGCAUAUAAAACCCCACUCAGUAGCACCCUAUAGGCCAAGUCAAGUGGCUCUUGACAAACAGAGUUUGAACAUCCACUCCUGCCUUAAUCCCACGGUCAUUUGACCAUCAGAUAGAUCUUCCUGUGUGAGUGCAAAUGCUCAAAAGCUAUUCAUAUUUUUUCUUCCAUGGCAGGUAAAUAUCUGCACAAGUCUGAACAAGAAGCUGCCCUGUUCUGUGUUAUCUGCUGAUCUGACUGCUCUGUUCUGCCACUGACAGCCUAGACAGCAAGCUGUUGCUGUUUACAGAGUUUACUGGGUCUGCCCAGAGACAUCUCCUCCACAGCAUAUACACAGCUUACUGAGUUUUUUGACAUUUUGAAACAAACUAACUAAAAGAAUAGAAAGCAGCACAAUCAGAGCACAAGCUGCAGUUCCUGCCCUCGAGUGAAGAUUUUGUGAGGCUGGCUCCUCGUAGAAGGAAGUUGAGAAAUUUGCAAAACGUUUCUGGGAAAGCAGGGAGUGAUUUCCAAACAGGGACUUUCUGAGCACAGAAAGCUGUCAAAUAGGGCAAGAUUAGUGGUGACUAACUAUCUUUGAGAGUCUGGGAAAAAGCACGAAUCAGUAUAUGCUCCCAUAAAAGAAAUGGCUAAUACCAGUCAGCUCCAUCUUUUUCUGUCAGUGAGGAGUAAAGUUUGUUUGCACUGCGAUUGGGAGUCAGAGAAAAAGCCAGUCUUAGUGGUGUUGUUGGAUGGGAUUAACAUUUCUGCUCAGUCCUUAGAAAACACUGUAAAGGUAAUGCCUCACAACUUCAAAGUAACUAAAAUAUUUCAGGUAAUCCCUUCCAGGAACAAAAAGGCAUUUCAUUCUGUGGUCCAUAUAUUCACUAAGCCUUCUGGCAAGACUCAAGACAAAUGAAUUUAGACUCCCAAAAGGAUGAGAAAUCAAGAAAAAGCUAAAAAAAUAACAACUUGGGAUGCAUUUGAACUAGUGGCCAUGAGGUCACUUUCCCCUUGGCUACUUUUAAAACACCAAACUCCUUAAUUUUUCAAAUGUUUCCAGCAGGAUCACAAAUGGUUUUGUACUUACUGCCUUUCCUGCUCUUGCUGGAGAAAUAUCUCGUUGUGUUAAUUUUGUUACUGUAUUCAGAAAAUGUUUGUUUUAUCUGGUUGCUUAUGCUGCAUUUAUAUUUGACAGUGUCCAACCUCCAGGGCUGUUAAAUAUGGAAGGGUGCUUUUAAUACAGAUUUAUUAAUACACAGGGGGAAGGCUCCAAAGACACUUCCUUGUGUCCUCUAGACAGCUUUAUUCCUGCACUAUGGAGGAAAUGAUAACAUUUAAAAGAUGAAUAACAAUAUGAAAGUGAUCUGAAAAAGCCAUCUGCAUGGGUUCCUGAAAGCUGGUGAGAUAUCCAGAAAUAAGGUCAACUCACUUGGAGAAUGGACCUAGAAAGAGAACUAUCGAGUUCUGGUCUUAGUUCUGGUACUGUCUGUUUAAUGAGUCUUGGCCAAAUAAAUUAGGCACAUCUCAGUAUUUCUAGCUACAAAUGGGGGUAAAAGGCCUACCUUGCCAUUUCAUAAGCAUUUUGUGAAAAACAAGCUUUUGCAAAGUGGCUGCAAUAAUUUUGAGCAAGAUAACAUAUGCAGUUGAAAUCUGGAAAUCCAUACAUUUUCCAGCAUGUAUAAUAACAAUGGUCAGUAACAAAACAAAGCUGCAGGUUAAAGUUGUCAGCUCUUCUCAGCAAGGUAAUUUAUUCUGUUGAAUGCAAAAGGAAAUGCAGAGUCUGAGAUUCUCAGAUUAAAGUGUAUCAUCUGAAAUACAGUGGUUAGGAUCAUCUCCAUAAUAUUGUUAAGAAUUCAGCUUGGGUUUUGUAAGCCCUUAAUAAAUUCUAAUUGGUUAAAUGACGCUCAGUUACGUGGAAAGAAAAGUAAGUCUGAAACUAUGUUAGAUUGCCAUCUGCCCAAAUGCUGAAAUUAUUGGGAAAAAAAUCUGCUUAACAGGAAACUGGCUCUUUGCUUUCAUCUGUUAUUCUUUCACAUGUUACUGGAGAUACUUGAAACGUCUCAUAUUGCUUAACAGGAAGAAAUCUUAACGGGGAGAAAUCUGUCUGAGGAACUAGCUGCAAUGGUUCAGGAUUUUGUUUCAGUUAGGGACUUUUCUUUCUCCUCCUCAAACUGAGGGACAAAUGAUCAGAUCUCCAGCUGCUUUGACACAGAUGCUGUUUCAGGUUGAAGAGAUGGAUACUGAACAUUUAAAACCAAAGCUGGUGAGUUUCCCAAAGAUUUGGGUCAGUGUCAGACUGGAUUCUAAAUCUUGUUUAAUUAUUUUAGAGGAAACAUCUCAAUUAGUUUAACAGUAUGUGAAACUCCCCCCAAAAUUAUCCAGGAUACCCUGGUUCCUUCCUCUAUGUAGGCCUAAAUAGGGUCAUACUUGUAGGACUUGUGUUCAUCUGAGGAACUGAAAUUUGUCAUCCCCAUGCUCUGCCAACCAACUGUCCUAUUCAACCUAAGAAUCAGCUGAAUAUGGAUACUCUACAGUCCGAAAUUCAGUAGUAUAUCUCAGCCUAAAUGUAAACUUUUUUCAGUGGAAGCACUUGGUGAGUCUUUAAAUAACGUGAAAACCUUUCUCCUUUAAUGCAGAGGAUUAGGAACUUAAGGAGAAGAACUGUCUGUUUUAAACCUCGCUCUGCCUAAAGCUGUAUCAGCUGUGAUGUGCCCUUUGUAUAACUCUGCUUGCAAAACACUGAGUUGGACAAGGCCACUUACUGCAAACACUGAGAAAUACUCUUCUUAGUUGAUCUAAAUCAAAGUUUCAGAUUUCAUUUUUGAAAUGAAAUGCACAACAGAAAUGGAACGAGACUUAAGUCAGAUUGGUCACUAUAGAUGCCAAACUGAUCUGUCGGGGCUCUUAGGGCAUCUUAGUUCAAGACAGAUGAGGGUGACUUGGACUAUGUGCUCUCCAGGCUUACCAAUCACUGGGCAGUCAUUGUGGUACCUGAGUUAAGUGGUACUCCCAGGUGGCAAGAAUCAGCACUAAGAGACUCAUGCAUGAUGAUGCCCUACCAAAGGAGAUAGGGCAUGUGCUUGAAGUGACAUGUAAGCUCCUUUUCGGGAAAGGAAACAGAAGUCCUAUGAGCACAGCCAUUACUCUAAGGCAUGGGAUUAUUCCCACAAAAGCAGCAGUGGGGGCUGCUGUCAUUGCAGAUGCAUCAGUUCACAGAGCUGGAAAACUGACUGACUGCUAGAGUUUGUAAGAUCAGGUAUGGUUUUUUUUUGAGCUCUCAUGGGGCCUGAAAAGCAGACUUGUAACUGCACUCAGGAGGCCUGAACCAGAUCCUGGGUGCAGUGGAGUUUGGAGGUAAUCAUGCUCUGGGCACCAUGGGUAGGUAUCAACUCACAGCUGAAACUGAGACAAUUUGGCACUGGCUAUCCCAGCACCUGAGGUGAUCAGCAGCAACUGAAAAGAAGGCUCCCAUGGGGAACAGCAAUUAUCCCAUCACUAUAAAUGAGCCAAUGCUUAUGAACUUUUCUGGAUCAGGGCCAAAGAGAAACUUGUAGUCUCACAGGCUAUAAAUUUGAUGGUGGCAGUAGACAGGACAGGUGUGGGAAAUAUGCAGUCGGCGUUCCAAACAUGCAACCCUUCAGAAUUCACUUAUUUCUUCAAAAAACCAAAGCAGGAGUUCAAGAGUUCAGCCUUCAUGCAAUGUGUGCUGCCAUGCACAACGUAUUAUCUUCAAAUCUCAGCAGCAAGACAUUCACAACUGCAGAGCUUUGCUGUUUCAAAGAGUAACCACUUCUAUUUCAAACAGCAUUUCAGUGUCAACUUCAGACGCUGAAGCUGACUUGAGCUCUAAGAGGAGUCAGAACAUUUGUCUCCAUCUGCGGUUCCGCUGGCUGGCCCCAGUCUUGAUCUGCCUCCCAGAUUUUACACUGCUGAUAGGAACAACCACAAAUCUCAGCAGGCAAAACCUUGACCACAAUGACCUCAUGUUGACUUCAGUAGCACCUGGAUCUCACCUAGCACAUAAACUCACGUCAAUGCACAUUAGAGGGGAGCUGGACUGACAUUCCUGGAGAUGCUGAGUCCUCUCCUAGACCAUGAAGGUCGUGAUAGUGUUCUUCUACCUUCCUCUAAGGAUAGGCUUUAAACUUCACUUGCCACCAAAGCCCAUUUAUAACUUAGGAUCCCUGGCUGUGUCAGCAAGUUGUUAUUAUGACACCACUUCUGUUCUGUCUGACUUGGACGUAAAGAAUUCCUCUUCCACUUCAAAGUCCACUGGUGGAAAGGAUUGAGAGGUGUAUUAAUGAGAAUGGAGAUGACUGCCACACUGGUGUGGGGGAAGCUGUUAACACCAUGUGUUGAGGUAUCUUCUGUGGUCUCAGAGAAGAUUCCUCAUUUCUCUGUGGCCUAGAGAAAUGUGCUAUGAUAAGUCCAAACAUUCCUUUUCAAAGGGACAUCAAACAGCCUUUAGCAGAUGGAUGCUUUCCACCAAUUGUUUCCACUUCUGGUC